UGCAAGUCGUGCGAGAAAGUAUCUUCGGAUAUGAUUAGAGCGGCGGACGGGUGAGUAACGCGUAGGAAUCGUACCUAGUAGAAGGGGGAAUAGCCCGAGGAAACCUCGGAUUAAUACCGUAUACCUCCUUCGGGAGAAAGAAGGCCUCUCUUUGAAGCUUUCGCUACUAGAUGAGCCUGCGUAAGAUUAGCUUGUUGGUGAGGUAAAGGCUCACCAAGGCGACGAUCUUUAGCGGGUCUGAGAGGACGAUCCGCCACAUUGGGACUGAGACACGGCCCAGACUCC
Molecule: ribosomal RNA, 285 nt
Filed under: unidentified marine bacterioplankton
Lineage: Bacteria
Description: partial 16S ribosomal RNA
Rfam family: Bacterial small subunit ribosomal RNA
Source: RNAcentral